GGUCAAGUGAAGAAGCGCAUACGGUGGAUGCCUUGGCAGUCAGAGGCGAUGAAAGACGUGGUAGCCUGCGAAAAGCUUCGGGGAGUCGGCAAACAGACUUUGAUCCGGAGAUCUCUGAAUGGGGGAACCCACCUAGGAUAACCUAGGUAUCUUGUACUGAAUCCAUAGGUGCAAGAGGCGAACCAGGGGAACUGAAACAUCUAAGUACCCUGAGGAAAAGAAAUCAACCGAGAUUCCCUUAGUAGUGGCGAGCGAACGGGGAUUAGCCCUUAAGCUUCAUUGAUUUUAGCGGAACGCUCUGGAAAGUGCGGCCAUAGUGGGUGAUAGCCCCGUACGCGAAAGGAUCUUUGAAGUGAAAUCGAGUAGGACGGAGCACGAGAAACUUUGUCUGAACAUGGGGGGACCAUCCUCCAAGGCUAAAUACUACUGACUGACCGAUAGUGAACCAGUACCGUGAGGGAAAGGCGAAAAGAACCCCGGAGAGGGGAGUGAAAUAGAACCUGAAACCGUAUGCGUACAAGCAGUGGGAGCCUACUUGUUAGGUGACUGCGUACCUUUUGUAUAAUGGGUCAGCGACUUAUAUUCAGUGGCAAGCUUAACCGUAUAGGGUAGGCGUAGCGAAAGCGAGUCUUAAUAGGGCGUUUAGUCGCUGGGUAUAGACCCGAAACCGGGCGAUCUAUCCAUGAGCAGGUUGAAGGUUAGGUAACACUGACUGGAGGACCGAACCCACUCCCGUUGAAAAGGUAGGGGAUGACUUGUGGAUCGGAGUGAAAGGCUAAUCAAGCUCGGAGAUAGCUGGUUCUCCUCGAAAGCUAUUUAGGUAGCGCCUCAUGUAUCACUCUGGGGGGUAGAGCACUGUUUCGGCUAGGGGGUCAUCCCGACUUACCAAACCGAUGCAAACUCCGAAUACCCAGAAGUGCCGAGCAUGGGAGACACACGGCGGGUGCUAACGUCCGUCGUGAAAAGGGAAACAACCCAGACCGCCAGCUAAGGUCCCAAAGUUGUGGUUAAGUGGUAAACGAUGUGGGAAGGCUUAGACAGCUAGGAGGUUGGCUUAGAAGCAGCCACCCUUUAAAGAAAGCGUAAUAGCUCACUAGUCGAGUCGGCCUGCGCGGAAGAUGUAACGGGGCUCAAACCACACACCGAAGCUGCGGGUGUCACGUAAGUGACGCGGUAGAGGAGCGUUCUGUAAGCCUGUGAAGGUGAGUUGAGAAGCUUGCUGGAGGUAUCAGAAGUGCGAAUGCUGACAUGAGUAACGACAAUGGGUGUGAAAAACACCCACGCCGAAAGACCAAGGGUUCCUGCGCAACGUUAAUCGACGCAGGGUUAGUCGGUUCCUAAGGCGAGGCUGAAAAGCGUAGUCGAUGGGAAACAGGUUAAUAUUCCUGUACUUCUGGUUACUGCGAUGGAGGGACGGAGAAGGCUAGGCCAGCUUGGCGUUGGUUGUCCAAGUUUAAGGUGGUAGGCUGAAAUCUUAGGUAAAUCCGGGGUUUCAAGGCCGAGAGCUGAUGACGAGUCGUCUUUUAGAUGACGAAGUGGUUGAUGCCAUGCUUCCAAGAAAAGCUUCUAAGCUUCAGGUAACCAGGAACCGUACCCCAAACCGACACAGGUGGUCGGGUAGAGAAUACCAAGGCGCUUGAGAGAACUCGGGUGAAGGAACUAGGCAAAAUGGCACCGUAACUUCGGGAGAAGGUGCGCCGGCUAGGGUGAAGGAUUUACUCCGUAAGCUCUGGCUGGUCGAAGAUACCAGGCCGCUGCGACUGUUUAUUAAAAACACAGCACUCUGCAAACACGAAAGUGGACGUAUAGGGUGUGACGCCUGCCCGGUGCCGGAAGGUUAAUUGAUGGGGUUAGCGCAAGCGAAGCUCUUGAUCGAAGCCCCGGUAAACGGCGGCCGUAACUAUAACGGUCCUAAGGUAGCGAAAUUCCUUGUCGGGUAAGUUCCGACCUGCACGAAUGGCGUAACGAUGGCGGCGCUGUCUCCACCCGAGACUCAGUGAAAUUGAAAUCGCUGUGAAGAUGCAGUGUAUCCGCGGCUAGACGGCAAGACCCCGUGAACCUUUACUGUAGCUUUGCACUGGACUUUGAGCCUGCUUGUGUAGGAUAGGUGGGAGGCUUUGAAGCGUGGACGCCAGUUCGCGUGGAGCCAUCCUUGAAAUACCACCCUGGCAUGCUUGAGGUUCUAACUCUGGUCCGUAAUCCGGAUCGAGGACAGUGUAUGGUGGGCAGUUUGACUGGGGCGGUCUCCUCCUAAAGAGUAACGGAGGAGUACGAAGGUGCGCUCAGACCGGUCGGAAAUCGGUCGCAGAGUAUAAAGGCAAAAGCGCGCUUGACUGCGAGACAGACACGUCGAGCAGGUACGAAAGUAGGUCUUAGUGAUCCGGUGGUUCUGUAUGGAAGGGCCAUCGCUCAACGGAUAAAAGGUACUCCGGGGAUAACAGGCUGAUACCGCCCAAGAGUUCAUAUCGACGGCGGUGUUUGGCACCUCGAUGUCGGCUCAUCACAUCCUGGGGCUGAAGCCGGUCCCAAGGGUAUGGCUGUUCGCCAUUUAAAGUGGUACGCGAGCUGGGUUUAGAACGUCGUGAGACAGUUCGGUCCCUAUCUGCCGUGGACGUUUGAGAUUUGAGAGGGGCUGCUCCUAGUACGAGAGGACCGGAGUGGACGAACCUCUGGUGUUCCGGUUGUCACGCCAGUGGCAUUGCCGGGUAGCUAUGUUCGGAAAAGAUAACCGCUGAAAGCAUCUAAGCGGGAAACUUGCCUCAAGAUGAGAUCUCACUGGGAACUUGAUUCCCCUGAAGGGCCGUCGAAGACUACGACGUUGAUAGGCUGGGUGUGUAAGCGUUGUGAGGCGUUGAGCUAACCAGUACUAAUUGCCCGUGAGGCUUGACCAU
This 2891-nucleotide ribosomal RNA is filed under the name Pseudomonas aeruginosa. RNAcentral's name for it is "23S ribosomal RNA". It matches the Rfam family "Bacterial large subunit ribosomal RNA". Lineage: Bacteria; Pseudomonadati; Pseudomonadota; Gammaproteobacteria; Pseudomonadales; Pseudomonadaceae. The record is from RNAcentral.